Chroicocephalus ridibundus (black-headed gull) is the source of this 236-nucleotide long non-coding RNA. RefSeq lists it as uncharacterized. The transcript is spliced from 4 exons. The record is from RefSeq and is a predicted model, not a curated record. Lineage: Eukaryota; Metazoa; Chordata; Aves; Charadriiformes; Laridae.
GCCGGGACUCUCCGCACGGCAGAGGAAGAUGAAGGUGGCGGUGCUCAGCCUGGCCCUGCUCUUCGCCGUCCUGCUCUGCACCCUGGAGGAUGCCCAGGCCUUCGAAGCAAGCGGAGGUUACUGCAUCGGGGGGGCAAUCGACUUCGGGCGAGUGAAGAGGGCUGCGGCCCCCCGGGCUGAGAAGCUGCUGGAGCUGGCGCGCCAGAGACGCAUGGCUGAGGCGGCCGAGGCCUAGG